ACACACCGCCGCAGCCAUGGGAGUCGGGAGGACCUGAAGGCAGUUGCUGUGAGGCGCUGUUUAGGGUAAAACCGAUGACUAGGGCU
This 86-nucleotide ribosomal RNA is filed under the name uncultured bacterium. RNAcentral's name for it is "partial 16S ribosomal RNA". The record is from RNAcentral.